Molecule: long non-coding RNA, 204 nt
Filed under: Vitis vinifera (wine grape)
Lineage: Eukaryota; Viridiplantae; Streptophyta; Magnoliopsida; Vitales; Vitaceae
Description: long non-coding RNA (VVIN_LNC002158)
Source: RNAcentral
GGUAAGAUUUCAUUUACUUAUUUGUUUUUUUUAUUAUUUCAUUUUAUUUUAUUUUUCUCAUUUGUUUUUAUUUUUAUUUUUAUUUGUUUUUGUCUUUGGCUUGAUGUUAUGAGAUUUGGGCCUAAUUUGCUUAUUGAUAUGGAUUUUGGGCCCAUAUGUUGUUGGUGAUUGAAAUUUGGGCCUAUUAUAUUAGUUGGAUUUGGG